AAGACGGGCACUCUAAGGGGACUGCCAUCGACAAGAUGGAGGAAGGUGGGGAUGACGUCAAAUCAUCAUGGCCUUUAUGCCCUGGGCUACACACGUGCUACAAUGGGCGGUACAAAGGGAAGCGAAGGGGCGACCUGGAGCAAAUCCCAAAAAGCCGCUCUCAGUUCGGAUUGCAGGCUGCAACUCGCCUGCAUGAAGGCGGAAUUGCUAGUAAUCGCGGAUCAGCAUGCCGCGGUGAAUACGUUCCCGGGCCUUGUACACACCGCCCGUCACACCACGAAAGCCGGUAACACCCGAAGUCAGUGGCCUAACCCG
This 315-nucleotide ribosomal RNA is filed under the name Carboxydothermus islandicus. RNAcentral describes it as "bacterial SSU rRNA". It matches the Rfam family "Bacterial small subunit ribosomal RNA", at positions 1128 to 1442 of the family's 1533-position model. The record is from RNAcentral. Lineage: Bacteria; Bacillati; Bacillota; Clostridia; Thermoanaerobacterales; Thermoanaerobacteraceae.